This is a long non-coding RNA of Macaca fascicularis (crab-eating macaque), 4413 nucleotides long. NCBI's taxonomy places the organism in Eukaryota, Metazoa, Chordata, Mammalia, Primates, Cercopithecidae. The record is from Ensembl.
AUGGACUACCAAGCCCCGCCCCUCUCUCCUGCAAGGAUGACGUCAUCGACUGAGUUGUCGAGUGACGUCACCUCCGGGCUGGCUGGGCUUCAUCGCUUCUCCGGAAACCUCCGACUCUCGGCACCUGGCCUCCAGCUUUCGGAACUAUGGAGGCCGCGCCCGGGACCCCCCCGCCGCCGCCAUCAGAGUCGCCGCCGUCGCCAUCGCCGCCGCCGCCAUCAACGCCUUCGCCUCCUCCGUGUUCCCCCGACGCCCGCCCGGCUACCCCGCACCUCCUCCACCACCGCCUCCCGCUCCCUGACGACAGGUCAGGCCCCCGGCCGGGCCGGGGCUGCGUCCCCGGGGGGAGGAAGAGGAGGAGGAGGAAGGGGGGCGGCCGCCAUGUUGGGCCGGGCCGCGGAGGAGGAGGAGGAGGAGGAGGAGGAAGGGCGGGGUCGGUGGGUGUCUCUCGAUCGCUUGCUCGCUCGCUCUUUCUCGCUUGCUUUCUCUCCUGGCCUCAUGCGUUUCCCCCCCCUCGCGGCGUUCGCCCGCUCUCCCUCGCUCUCGCUCUGUCUUUUUUGGGCGCCAUGCUGAGGGGAAGGUGAGGAGGCGCCCCUCGGACCCCCGCGCCCGCCCGCCCGCCCUGGGGAGGGGGGCGCCGGGGGGUGCUGCGGAGGCCCACGGGGGUCCUUGGCUGCCCCUACGCCCGGAGCUGGCAGCCACGGGCCCGCCUGCUCGUCGCCUGGCUUCGGGGAAGGGGAUGGGGGAGGGGCUCCGGACCCUUUUUGGGGGGAUCUCGAGCAACAGCCCCGCUCUUAGGGGUUUGGGGUUGGGGGUCUCCCAGCCCCCGGCAGUAUCCUUUCUCCUGGGGGAGGCACACCCUACCCUACUUGGAUGAUAGGUACCUUAGCUUAGGAGGCAGAAAGUGGGGGUUCAUUCAAGUCCCUUCUCCAUCCUUGUAAUGGGGGGUCAUUUGGGUGGGUGCUUUAUAGCACUUUUAUUUUUUGGCGGGAGGUGUUUUGUAGCUAUUCCCUAGAAGGCCGAAUUGGGGAGUGGGGGAGAUGCAUCUCCAGCCCUUUUGAUGAAAACCCCUGCCUAUUUAUUUAGAGAAGAUUCUUACCCGUGUUUUUGUUAAAGGGCAGGGGUUCUCUUGCUUUUCGUAGGUAGGUGACGUGAGGGAGGACUAGCAGCCUUGUUUUGUGGGGGUAAGGUUUGGUUUCCCUGCCUUGUAGGGAGAGGAAGUUGGUCCCGCGCUUUCUCGUGGGGUUCCCCCCUCUGUCGGGGUAAAAUGGGGCACCGUCUCUUCCGGGAGAGAGAAAAGGAGAUUUCCUUGUGCUUUGGCAGGGCGUUAAAGGAAGCGCCCCCUUCCCUUUAUUAAGUGCGAAACGCGGCGCACCCCCCCCACGCCCUUCUCUGGCUGGCGGGUGAUAAUGGGGUCAGCCCGGCGCGUUUCAGGGCGAGGUUGGGGCCCCGUUUCCUUCCCCUGCUCGAGCAGAAGGAGUUGGGGUGCAGGGUUCGUCCACUGUUUCCUGGUGGGGCAGAAGAGGCGGCUAGAGAGUAGAUUUGGACACGGACGGUGGGUUUCAGCCGGCAGGAAAGCGAGUCUUGGAGUGGGGGUGGAGAGGGGAAAAGAACGCGCUGGACAGAUGGCUACCCCGCCGCAGCCCUGGCUGGGGAGCCGCUGAGGACCCUCCCUUGGCCGGGGGUCUCAGCCAGGGCUUCCCCUGCUAGGGUCUACGGCCCCUUCUCCCUACUCCCACCUCCCCUUUCCCCUUUCUCCUUCACAGACCAUACUUUGCCUUUUAAAAGAAAUGCCACCCACAUUCAGAGACACAAGUGCAGCAGUUUGGUGAGCUUUUUACAACAUUUGUUUUUUUCUGUUUUGUUCUAAUUAAAUGUAUCGUCCUGGGAAUCGCAGCCCAUCGCAGCCCGACUCCAAGGAAAUAAACAGAUUAGCAAAGGUCUGUUCGCAAAGCCCUCGUUGGGCUUCCGGGCCCCCUCUCCGGGGGCAGGUGCAUUACUCAAAGGUGCUUACACGCUUUAUUCGACCUCUAAGGAGUUCUCUUAUGUCAGAAGUGUAUGUCUUACAAUGGGUUGGGAUGGUAAGUAGCCUCUUUUAUUGAGUAAUUCAAUGAUCUCCCUCUUUUUCUCCCUUUCCUGCCUGCCUUCCUCCUCGCCUUUAGACCAAAGUGAUGCUUGAGAGAGUGAGUUGAUAUGUUCGAAUCAGGAUUCUAACCCUGUUGAGCCCUUUUAGACUUGCACAUCCUUUCAAUGUUUAAUUUUUAAAAUUUUACGUACACAGUUUUCUCCAAAAAAAAAAAAAAAGUGUGUUACUGUAACAUGACAAAAAUCGAUAUAAAAGGCCCGUAUGUUUUCGGACUCUUGGCAUCCCUCUUUCCAUUUCAAUCCAUUGCUUUGUCUCCAGCCUUCAUCUCUGAAAAGAGUGGAUACUUCAAGUCCAUUUGUAGGAGACAAGCUUACUGAAUUUGAUUUAUGAUACAUGUAUUCAAGUUAAUGGUUUCCCUCCCUCCCUGCCCCCCAGAAAAGAUUGGUUCAAGUAGCUCCAAUUUUCUCAUUUUACUCCAAUGUCUCUUGUGGUGAUGGACGUUAAAAUUGAGCAAGUCAUUUGUAAAGUACUGUUGAAGCACAAAAUCUGUAAACUGUGUCAAGCCCCCAUCUCUGCCCGUCUCCACUGCUCCUUUGUUCGAAAGCACAUGUCUGACUGUGAAAAGUUGAUGCAAACGUGUUACACGCCCAGUCAUGUUGGAGGGAACACCUCCUCCAGCCCCCAGUCCCCCCGGCCUACACGUAACAAGGAAAAAACAGAAACAGAAAUGACUUGCAGAACCAAACACCGUACUUCUGAUGUGUUUUACAAGCAUAAGUUCCGUUAAAAGACAAAACACGUUGAAGUUGCAUUUUCCCUCUUUCCCACUUUUGAUCCCUGACAUACUUUGAGAGAGAACCCUGGCCCUCUCCAAAAGAGCCGUUUCCUUUUUUUCCUUCUUAAAAGGAAAAAAGGUCACGCACAUGUAGAUGAGGAAACUGCAAUUCAGUAGGCCACUUGUUUUCUUCCUCUUAAUAUGUUCACAACUGCCAUGGAGUGGUGAUCCUUAGUAUGUAAAAUCAGUUAUGGGAGGAAGAAAUCUCCAAACUCUACAGUAUCCUGCAAAAAAUGUCUGAAGCACAAACCGAACAAACACAUUAUCCAGGGCACUGGGUCAGCCCGAAAUGAAUUGCAUUUAUUUGAAGUUUCCCAUCCUUUAUAAAAUUCCUUCUCCAGGAGCUGAGAACAGAAAUUGGAUGACUGAUGACCCAAGUUCCAAAGGCUACUAAGUUGCUUAUUUAAACUGACUUUUAAAAAGAAACGUUAAGGAAAUGAGAUUUUUUUUGUAAGUGAAAUUUUUAGCAAUCAUUCAGUGAAUUUGAAACUAUUUCCCCAAGCAUUUAAAAAACUCACAGGCAUAUCAACACAAGGGUUUAUUGUUUUCUGUUCUCAAAGGAAUCUCAUCCCGAGAAGCCCCAGUAAUUAAGUCAAAAACUAUUUGGUUAAUCUUUGUUUUUGAAAUGUCACAGUACUGCCUUUUUUUCCCCCCAAACUGAUGUACCAGUAUUAGUUAAAAAUCAAAUUAAUGGAUGUUGCAAAAAAAAAAAGAAAGAAAAGGGUGUCACUCAGAAUCCCUGAUUUAACAACCAAUCUUAUUAUACACUUAUAACCUUUUACAUUUUUAUUUUCUCUGGGUGAGAGAUUUAACUUAAAAGCAAAUCAAAGUCUCCUAGUAGAAAAAAGUCGAUUUUGACCAUGGAAAUAUGGAUGUUCUGGUCAUAAAGCCCCUUUAUUUUUUUAAUUCUUCUCAAAUUUGCUCUUUAAAAGAAAAAAAAAAAUGUGAUUCCCCAAAAGGAGUAAUUCACAGCCUGUCCUCUCCCCCCGGUACAAUUUUGUUGUGCUCUGAAGGUUUAAAUUUUUGAUUUCUUUUUAAGCCAUAGUUUUCUCUAAGUAGAGCCAGCUAUUUUAGCCACUACUGUGGUUUUUCCACAGCCAGGAAGGCUGAUCCCAAGGGAAAAUUGUUUUGUACCUGUGGACCUGGCUGUUCAACUGCCUGGCAAAUUUAAGAUGAACGGUUUUGACUCUUGUGUUUCUAUAUAGUUGAAUGUAGAGCUAUUGCAUGUUGGACUUGCUUAGUAAUUUAUUUGACGGUGCUUCCACCUCUGCUUCUUGCUCUUAGAUCUUUUACCUUCUUCCAUGAUGGGAGAGAAAUGGCUGUCUGAGGAUCCACUUCCUUUUGUUACUUUUUUUUUUUUUUUUUUGAGACGGAGUCUCACGCUGUUGCCCAGGCUGGAGUGCAGUGGCGCGAUCUCGGCUCACUGCAAGCUCCGCCUCCCGGGUUCCCGCCAUUCUCCUGCCUCAGCCUCCUGAGUAGCUGGGACUACAGG